AUUGAACGCUGGCGGCAGGCCUAACACAUGCAAGUCGAGCGGAUGAAGGGAGCUUGCUCCUGGAUUCAGCGGCGGACGGGUGAGUAAUGCCUAGGAAUCUGCCUGGUAGUGGGGGAUAACGUCCGGAAACGGGCGCUAAUACCGCAUACGUCCUGAGGGAGAAAGUGGGGGAUCUUCGGACCUCACGCUAUCAGAUGAGCCUAGGUCGGAUUAGCUAGUUGGUGGGGUAAAGGCCUACCAAGGCGACGAUCCGUAACUGGUCUGAGAGGAUGAUCAGUCACACUGGAACUGAGACACGGUCCAGACUCCUACGGGAGGCAGCAGUAGGGAAUAUUGGACAAUGGGCGAAAGCCUGAUCCAGCCAUGCCGCGUGUGUGAAGAAGGUCUUCGGAUUGUAAAGCACUUUAAGUUGGGAGGAAGGGCAGUAAGUUAAUACCUUGCUGUGUUGACGUUACCAACAGAAUAAGCACCGGCUAACUUCGUG
Molecule: ribosomal RNA, 484 nt
Filed under: uncultured bacterium
Lineage: Bacteria
Description: partial 16S ribosomal RNA
Rfam family: Bacterial small subunit ribosomal RNA
Source: RNAcentral